This 331-nucleotide unclassified non-coding RNA is filed under the name soil metagenome. Its description in RNAcentral is "partial contains 5.8S ribosomal RNA, internal transcribed spacer 2, and large subunit ribosomal RNA". The stretch from base 1 to 119 matches the Rfam family "5.8S ribosomal RNA", at positions 35 to 154 of the family's 154-position model. The record is from RNAcentral.
GAUGAAGACGCAGCAAAAUGCGAUAAGUAAUGUGAAUUGCAGAAUUCAGUGAAUCAUCGAAUCUUUGAACGCACAUUGCGCCCGCCAGUAUUCUGGCGGGCAUGCCUGUUCGAGCGUCAUUUCAACCCUCAAGCACAGCUUGGUGUUGGGACUCGCGUUAAUUCGCGUUCCUCAAAUUGAUUGGCGGUCACGUCGAGCUUCCAUAGCGUAGUAGUAAAACCCUCGUUACUGGUAAUCGUCGCGGCCACGCCGUUAAACCCCAACUUCUGAAUGUUGACCUCGGAUCAGGUAGGAAUACCCGCUGAACUUAAGCAUAUCAAUAAGCGGAGGA